UAAAAUGGUGAUCAAAAAUCUAAAAAAAAAAUCGGAACAUCUUUCACAUCUUUAUAGUUUCUAUACCAAGAGAUCUACUUUGAAUGGUCAUCCUCGGAUGAGUAAUUGAGAAAGAUUGCUCUAAAAUUAAGACUUCUACUUCUGCCGCUCCGUCCAGGGUCCAAAGCAAACCAAAACUAAGGACAGUCAAAGUGGAUGAUGUUGGGAUAAUGUUCUUCUGAUUAUGCAAACGCACUUCAAUGUCAAGUGAGUCAAGCCUGUGUAUAACAUUUUUCUCAAGAAAAUGAAAGAAUAUCAAAAGGAAAAGGAAAAGGAAAAGAGAAAAAUGAGGAGCUAGUAUAUGUUUUUUGCCACCUUUCAUCCCUGGAUGCAAAGUAUCAAACAUUGUGCCAGCAUACAUCAAACCAAGAAAAGAAUAUUUUCAUCUUCUUAACAAUAGAAUAUUGGGGUUUCCAUCUCCAUUGUGAAGUCUGCAGCAGCUAUUUGCCUUUCCCGUAAUUGUUUACAGAAAGAGAGAUGAUUUGGUCACAUGUUUUUGGCUAGGAAAAGAAGCAAAAGAGAAAACGGAUAAGGCUAAAAUGCUAUGGAAACAAAGCAACUUCAAUAACAAAUCCAGCUCUACACGUCCUUGGGGAUAUAAUUCAUACCCUUAGAAAGGCUCUUGACUUAUGAGACCACAAAUUUGGCAAUGUGAAAUGACAAAAUCAA
Molecule: non-coding RNA, 708 nt
Organism: Camellia sinensis
Lineage: Eukaryota; Viridiplantae; Streptophyta; Magnoliopsida; Ericales; Theaceae
Source: RefSeq, a predicted model, not a curated record